GACGAACGCUGGCGGCGUGCUUAACACAUGCAAGUCGAACGGAAAGUCCCUGCUUUUGUGUGGUGCUCGAGUGGCGAACUUGUAAUUAACACGUGAGUAACCUGCCCUUGACUUUGGGAUAACUUCAGGAAACUGGGGCUAAUACCGGAUAGGAGCUCCUGCUGCAUGGUGGGGGUUGGAAAGUUUCGGCGGCUGGGGAUGGACUCGCGGCUUAUCAGCUUGUUGGUGGGGUAGUGGCUUACCAAGGCUUGGACGGGUAGCCGGCCUGAGAGGGUGACCGGACACAUUGGGACUGAGAUAAGGCCCAGACUCCUACGGGAGGCAGCAGUGGGGAAUAUUGCACAAUGGGCUGAAGCAUGAUGCAGCAACGCCGCGUGCGGGAUGACGGCAUUCGGGUUGUAAACCGCUUUCGCCUGUGACGAAGCGUGAGUGACGGUAAUGGGUAAAGAAGCACCGGCUAACUACGUG
This 468-nucleotide ribosomal RNA is filed under the name uncultured bacterium. RNAcentral describes it as "partial 16S ribosomal RNA". It matches the Rfam family "Bacterial small subunit ribosomal RNA", at positions 28 to 507 of the family's 1533-position model. The record is from RNAcentral.